This 791-nucleotide long non-coding RNA is filed under the name Manihot esculenta (cassava). Its description in RNAcentral is "long non-coding RNA (MESC_LNC004919)". Lineage: Eukaryota; Viridiplantae; Streptophyta; Magnoliopsida; Malpighiales; Euphorbiaceae. The record is from RNAcentral.
UUGAGCUGGUUUACAUAAACAUCAUAUCAUAAGAUCAUGUACAUACAAAAGGGAUUAACAAUGUACUAUGGUCAAGCACAGCUCUAUCCUCAAUAACCUCAUUACAUAACAUACUGAAAUUUUACAUUUCAUCAUAAUACAAUUGUCAUGUCCACAAUCUAACUAUUACAUGCAUACGACUUUCUUUUUCUCUUCUUGCCUUCUCUAUCUAUCCCGCACCUGCAAACCUGGGGGUUAGGGGAGAGGGGUGAGCUAGAUGCCCAGUGAGUAGAACUAUAAAAGGAUAUUAAAACAUGCCAUCAUGAAAUGGAUCACUGCACAAACAUUUCACAUCAUGGACGGACUGACCCAAAAAUCCCUCAGCUCCAUGCCCGGCCCUAUUAUGGGCACCACAGGACUUCGUAUUGCCCGGCCCUAUUAUGGGCACCACAGGACUUCGUAGAUCGGAGCUAUUGCCCGGCCCUAUUAUGGGCACCACAGGACUUCGUACAAAGGGCUAGUGAGUCGUGCAAUGUCUAUCCCCCAUCAACAUCAAAUAAUAAUGCAAUGCAACAUAAUUCGUGAUUCUAAUGCAACCAACCUAUAAUAUAAUCAUGAUGCAUGAAGCAUGAUAAAAGCAUUUCAUUUCUUAAUUUAAAAGGUUAAGUUUAGUUCCACUCACCUCUGGCUGACUCUGACAACUCUGUAGCAGCUGGUUCACAGCUGGGGUCCUUGGUUCCUCGGGUCCGAACCUACACAGGUGGACUCCAAUGAGGGACCAAACAUACAUAAACAUAACUCUAAUGUAUCCC